This 253-nucleotide ribosomal RNA is filed under the name uncultured bacterium. RNAcentral describes it as "partial 16S ribosomal RNA". It matches the Rfam family "Bacterial small subunit ribosomal RNA", at positions 524 to 776 of the family's 1533-position model. The record is from RNAcentral.
UACGUAGGGGGCAAGCGUUAUCCGGAUUUACUGGGUGUAAAGGGAGCGUAGACGGUGAUGCAAGUCAGAAGUGAAAGCCCGGGGCUCAACUCCGGGACUGCUUUUGAAACUGUGUAACUGGAGUGCAGGAGAGGUAAGCGGAAUUCCUGGUGUAGCGGUGAAAUGCGUAGAUAUCAGGAGGAACACCAGUGGCGAAGGCGGCUUACUGGACGGCAACUGACGCUGAGGCUCGAAAGCGUGGGGAGCAAACAGG